This 253-nucleotide ribosomal RNA is filed under the name uncultured bacterium. RNAcentral's name for it is "partial 16S ribosomal RNA". It matches the Rfam family "Bacterial small subunit ribosomal RNA", at positions 524 to 776 of the family's 1533-position model. The record is from RNAcentral.
GACGGGGGGGGCAAGUGUUCUUCGGAAUUACUGGGCGUAAAGAGCUCGUAGGCGGUUUGUCGCGUCGUCUGUGAAAACCAGCAGCUCAACUGUUGGCUUGCAGGCGAUACGGGCAGACUUGAGUAUUUCAGGGGAGACUGGAAUUCCUGGUGUAGCGGUGAAAUGCGCAGAUAUCAGGAGGAACACCGGUGGCGAAGGCGGGUCUCUGGAAAAUAACUGACGCUGAGGAGCGAAAGCGUGGGUAGCGAACAGG